UACGUAGGGUGCAAGCGUUGUCCGGAAUUAUUGGGCGUAAAGAGCUCGUAGGCGGUCUGUCACGUCGGCUGUGAAAUCCCGAGGCUCAACCUCGGGUCUGCAGUCGAUACGGGCAAACUAGAGUAUUGCAGGGGAGACUGGAAUUCCUGGUGUAGCGGUGAAAUGCGCAGAUAUCAGGAGGAACACCGGUGGCGAAGGCGGCACUCUGGGCCGGUACUGACGCUGAGGAGCGAAAGCGUGGGGAGCGAACAGG
RNAcentral lists this ribosomal RNA (253 nucleotides) under uncultured bacterium. RNAcentral's name for it is "partial 16S ribosomal RNA". It matches the Rfam family "Bacterial small subunit ribosomal RNA", at positions 524 to 776 of the family's 1533-position model. The record is from RNAcentral.